RNAcentral lists this ribosomal RNA (516 nucleotides) under uncultured bacterium. RNAcentral describes it as "bacterial SSU rRNA". It matches the Rfam family "Bacterial small subunit ribosomal RNA", at positions 15 to 518 of the family's 1533-position model. The record is from RNAcentral.
GAUCAUGGCUCAGGAUGAACGCUAGCUACAGGCUUAACACAUGCAAGUCGCGGGGCAGCAUGGAGGUUGCUGCAACCUUGAUGGCGACCGGCGCACGGGUGCGUAACGCGUAUCCAACCUUCCCUUCAGCAGGGCACAGCCCGUUGAAAGACGGAUUAAUUCCCUAUGAUCUCCUUUGCGGGCAUCUGAUGAGGAGUAAAGGCUUUAGCCGCUGAAGGAUGGGGAUGCGUAGGAUUAGGUAGUCGGCGGGGUAACGGCCCACCGAGCCUUCGAUCCUUAGGGGUUCUGAGAGGAAGGUCCCCCACACUGGAACUGAGACACGGUCCAGACUCCUACGGGAGGCAGCAGUGAGGAAUAUUGGUCAAUGGAGGCAACUCUGAACCAGCCAAAAGUAGCGUGCAGGACGACGGCCCUACGGGUUGUAAACUGCUUUUAUGCGGGGAUAAAUUGGGGGACGUGUCCCCUUUUGCAGGUACCGCAUGAAUAAGGACCGGCUAAUUCCGUGCCAGCAGCGGC